UACGGGAGGCAGCAGUGGGAAUAUUGCACAAUGGGCGCAAGCCUGAUGCAGCCAUGCCGCGUGUAUGAAGAAGGCCUUCGGGUUGUAAAGUACUUUCAGUCGUGAGGAAGGUGUUAAGGUUAAUAACCUUAGCAAUUGACGUUAGCGACAGAAGAAGCACCGGCUAACUCCGUGCCAGCAGCCGCGGUAAUACGGAGGGUGCGAGCGUUAAUCGGAAUUACUGGGCGUAAAGGGCACGCAGGCGGUUAAUUAAGUUGGAUGUGAAAUCCCCGGGCUUAACCUGGGAAUGGCAUUCAAGCUGGUUAGCUAGAGUCUUGUAGAGGGGGUAGAAUUCCAUGUGUAGCGGUGAAAUGCGUAGAGAUGUGGAGGAAUACCGGUGGCGAAGGCGGCCCCUGGACAAAGACUGACGCUCAUGUGC
RNAcentral lists this ribosomal RNA (418 nucleotides) under uncultured bacterium. RNAcentral's name for it is "bacterial SSU rRNA". It matches the Rfam family "Bacterial small subunit ribosomal RNA", at positions 340 to 754 of the family's 1533-position model. The record is from RNAcentral.